This 64-nucleotide transfer RNA is filed under the name Platynereis sp. 1 PA-2020. RNAcentral describes it as "tRNA-Asn". Lineage: Eukaryota; Metazoa; Annelida; Polychaeta; Phyllodocida; Nereididae. The record is from RNAcentral.
UAAGCUGAAGCCAAUAGGCAUUUAUCUGUUACAUAAACCCCUGCUACUUUGCUAGCCUGCUUAG